RNAcentral lists this ribosomal RNA (255 nucleotides) under uncultured bacterium. Its description in RNAcentral is "partial 16S ribosomal RNA". It matches the Rfam family "Bacterial small subunit ribosomal RNA", at positions 524 to 776 of the family's 1533-position model. The record is from RNAcentral.
CACGUAGGGGGGCAAGCGUUGUCCGGAUUUAUUGGGCGUAAAGAGCUCGUAGGCGGUUCGGUAAGUCGGGUGUGAAACCUCCAGGCUCAACCUGGAGAGGCCACCUGAUACUGCUGUGACUCGAGUCCGGUAGGGGAGCGUGGAAUUCCUGGUGUAGCGGUGAAAUGCGCAGAUAUCAGGAGGAACACCAGCGGCGAAGGCGGCGCUCUGGGCCGGAACUGACGCUGAGGAGCGAAAGCGUGGGUAGCAAACAGG